GAUGAACGCUGGCGGCGUGCCUAAUACAUGCAAGUCGAGCGAACAGACGAGGAGCUUGCUCCUUCGACGUUAGCGGCGGACGGGUGAGUAACACGUAGGUAACCUACCUAUAAGACUGGGGUAACUUCGGGAAACCGGAGCUAAUACCGGAUAAUAUUUCGAACCGCAUGGUUCGAUAGUGAAAGAUGGCUUUGCUAUCACUUAUAGAUGGACCUGCGCCGUAUUAGCUAGUUGGUAAGGUAACGGCUUACCAAGGCAACGAUACGUAGCCGACCUGAGAGGGUGAUCGGCCACACUGGAACUGAGACACGGUCCAGACUCCUACGGGAGGCAGCAGUAGGGAAUCUUCCGCAAUGGGCGAAAGCCUGACGGAGCAACGCCGCGUGAGUGAUGAAGGUCUUCGGAUCGUAAAACUCUGUUAUUAGGGAAGAACAAACGUGUAAGUAACUGUGCACGUCUUGACGGUACCUAAUCAGAAAGCCACGGCUAACUACGUG
This 497-nucleotide ribosomal RNA is filed under the name uncultured bacterium. RNAcentral describes it as "partial 16S ribosomal RNA". It matches the Rfam family "Bacterial small subunit ribosomal RNA", at positions 28 to 507 of the family's 1533-position model. The record is from RNAcentral.